This 945-nucleotide ribosomal RNA is filed under the name Bacillus sp. s44. RNAcentral's name for it is "bacterial SSU rRNA". It matches the Rfam family "Bacterial small subunit ribosomal RNA", at positions 77 to 1005 of the family's 1533-position model. The record is from RNAcentral. Lineage: Bacteria; Bacillati; Bacillota; Bacilli; Caryophanales; Bacillaceae.
GGGAUGCCUUUUUAAGUUAGCGGCGGACGGGUGAGUAACACGUGGGUAACCUGCCCAUAAGACUGGGAUAACUCCGGGAAACCGGGGCUAAUACCGGAUAACAUUUUGAACUGCAUGGUUCGAAAUUGAAAGGCGGCUUCGGCUGUCACUUAUGGAUGGACCCGCGUCGCAUUAGCUAGUUGGUGAGGUAACGGCUCACCAAGGCAACGAUGCGUAGCCGACCUGAGAGGGUGAUCGGCCACACUGGGACUGAGACACGGCCCAGACUCCUACGGGAGGCAGCAGUAGGGAAUCUUCCGCAAUGGACGAAAGUCUGACGGAGCAACGCCGCGUGAGUGAUGAAGGCUUUCGGGUCGUAAAACUCUGUUGUUAGGGAAGAACAAGUGCUAGUUGAAUAAGCUGGCACCCUGACGGUACCUAACCAGAAAGCCACGGCUAAAUACGUGCCAGCAGCCGCGGUAAUAAGUAGGUGGCAAGCGUUAUCCGGAAUUAUUGGGCGUAAAGCGCGCGCAGGUGGUUUCUUAAGUCUGAUGUGAAAACCCACGGCUCAACCCUGGAGGGUCAUUGGAAAAUGGGAGACUUGAGUGCAGAAGAGGAAAGUGGAAUUCCAUGUGUAGCGGUGAAAUGCGUAGAGAUAUGGAGGAACACCAGUGGCGAAGGCGACUUUCUGGUCUGUAAAUGACACUGAGGCGCGAAAGCGUGGGGAGCAAACAGGAUUAGAUACCCUGGUAGUCCACCCCGUAAACGAUGAGUGCUAAGUGUUAGAGGGUCUCCGCCCUUUAGUGCUGAAGUUAACGCAUUAAGCACUCCCCCUGGGGAGUACGGCCGCAAGGCUGAAACUCAAAGGAAUUGACGGGGGCCCGCCCAAGCGGUGGAGCAUGUGGUUUAAUUUGAAGCAACGGGAAGAACCUUACCAGGUCUUGACAUCCUUUGAAAACCCUAGAG